RNAcentral lists this ribosomal RNA (468 nucleotides) under uncultured bacterium. Its description in RNAcentral is "partial 16S ribosomal RNA". It matches the Rfam family "Bacterial small subunit ribosomal RNA", at positions 28 to 507 of the family's 1533-position model. The record is from RNAcentral.
GACGAACGCUGGCGGCGCGCCUAACACAUGCAAGUCGAACGGAGCUGAGAGAAGCUUGCUUUUCUUAGCUUAGUGGCGAACGGGUGAGUAACGCGUGAGUAACCUGCCCUGGAGUGGGGGACAACAGUUGGAAACGACUGCUAAUACCGCAUAAGCCCACGAUCCGGCAUCGGAUUGAGGGAAAAGGAUUUAUUCGCUUCAGGAUGGACUCGCGUCCAAUUAGCUAGUUGGUGAGGUAACGGCCCACCAAGGCGACGAUUGGUAGCCGGACUGAGAGGUUGAACGGCCACAUUGGGACUGAGACACGGCCCAGACUCCUACGGGAGGCAGCAGUGGGGGAUAUUGCACAAUGGGGGAAACCCUGAUGCAGCGACGCCGCGUGGAAGAAGAAGGUUUUCGGAUUGUAAACUCCUGUCGUUAGGGACGAUAAUGACGGUACCUAACAAGAAAGCACCGGCUAACUACGUG